Molecule: long non-coding RNA, 270 nt
Organism: Hibiscus syriacus
Lineage: Eukaryota; Viridiplantae; Streptophyta; Magnoliopsida; Malvales; Malvaceae
Exons: 2
Source: RefSeq, a predicted model, not a curated record
UCUGCCUUGCCAAAGACGUGGCCUUUGGUUGUGGACAUAUGACUUGCAGAGAAUGUGGGUCAAAGGUGUCCAACUGUCCAAUAUGCCGACAAAGGAUUACUAAUCGUCUCAGGUUGUUUACUUGAUUUCUGUAUUAUUAUGACUUUUAUGUACAGACAAUGUACGUAGUUAAGGGAAUAUUUAUGUAUUUUAAUGAAUUUUGAAAAUACUAAUUUGUACAAAAUGUUGAAAGCAUUGGUUUGAAGCAUCUCUUUUUCUUUUUGCUUUUCU